This is a long non-coding RNA of Lonchura striata (white-rumped munia), 206 nucleotides long. RefSeq lists it as uncharacterized. The record is from RefSeq and is a predicted model, not a curated record. NCBI's taxonomy places the organism in Eukaryota, Metazoa, Chordata, Aves, Passeriformes, Estrildidae.
CUGAGCUGGAACCUGCAGCAGUCUUUCGACGGACUUUUGUAGUCUUUCUGAUUUUUUACGUUGGAGGCUGAAAGAACCACCUUCCUGAAUAUUUAUCAGAAUGUUUUAAGGGUAAAAAAUUGAGAAUGGAUCUCCUUAGAGAGGAAGGAGAGAGAAUGGCACAUCUAAAGGAUGCAAUCUAUCAUCCUAAACAUUGAGCACAGCCA